RNAcentral lists this microRNA precursor (53 nucleotides) under Otolemur garnettii (small-eared galago). RNAcentral's name for it is "mir-1302 microRNA precursor family". It matches the Rfam family "mir-1302 microRNA precursor family". Lineage: Eukaryota; Metazoa; Chordata; Mammalia; Primates; Galagidae. The record is from Rfam by way of RNAcentral.
UUUUUAGUAUAAGUAUGUCCCAUGCAAUAUUUGGGGAUGUAGUUAUGUUAAAA